UACGUAGGUGGCAAGCGUUGUCCGGAAUUAUUGGGCGUAAAGCGCGCGCAGGCGGUCUUUUAAGUCUGAUGUGAAAGCCCACGGCUCAACCGUGGAGGGUCAUUGGAAACUGGGGGACUUGAGUGCAGAAGAGGAAAGUGGAAUUCCAAGUGUAGCGGUGAAAUGCGUAGAGAUUUGGAGGAACACCAGUGGCGAAGGCGACUUUCUGGUCUGUAACUGACGCUGAGGCGCGAAAGCGUGGGGAGCAACAGG
Molecule: ribosomal RNA, 252 nt
Filed under: uncultured bacterium
Lineage: Bacteria
Description: partial 16S ribosomal RNA
Rfam family: Bacterial small subunit ribosomal RNA
Source: RNAcentral